This 481-nucleotide ribosomal RNA is filed under the name uncultured bacterium. RNAcentral describes it as "bacterial SSU rRNA". It matches the Rfam family "Bacterial small subunit ribosomal RNA", at positions 30 to 507 of the family's 1533-position model. The record is from RNAcentral.
AUUGAACGCUGGCGGCAGGCUUAACACAUGCAAGGUCGAACGAUGACUCUCUAGCUUGCUAGAGAUGAUUAGUGGCGGACGGGUGAGUAACAUUUAGGAAUCUACCUAGUAGUGGGGGAUAGCUCGGGGAAACUCGAAUUAAUACCGCAUACGACCUACGGGUGAAAGGGGGCGCAAGCUCUUGCUAUUAGAUGAGCCUAAAUCAGAUUAGCUAGUUGGUGGGGUAAAGGCCUACCAAGGCGACGAUCUGUAACUGGUCUGAGAGGAUGAUCAGUCACACCGGAACUGAGACACGGUCCGGACUCCUACGGGAGGCAGCAGUGGGGAAUAUUGGACAAUGGGGGCAACCCUGAUCCAGCCAUGCCGCGUGUGUGAAGAAGGCCUUUUGGUUGUAAAGCACUUUAAGCAGGGAGGAGAGGCUAAUGGUUAAUACCCAUUAGAUUAGACGUUACCUGCAGAAUAAGCACCGGCUAACUCUGUG